UACGUAGGGUCCGAGCGUUGUCCGGAAUUAUUGGGCGUAAAGGGCUCGUAGGCGGUUUGUCGCGUCGGGAGUGAAAAUCCAGGGCUUAACUCUGGACUGGCUUCCGAUACGGGCAGACUAGAGGUAUGCAGGGGAGAACGGAAUUCCUGGUGUAGCGGUGAAAUGCGCAGAUAUCAGGAGGAACACCAGUGGCGAAGGCGGUUCUCUGGGCAUUACCUGACGCUGAGGAGCGAAAGUGUGGGGAGCGAACAGG
RNAcentral lists this ribosomal RNA (253 nucleotides) under uncultured bacterium. RNAcentral's name for it is "partial 16S ribosomal RNA". It matches the Rfam family "Bacterial small subunit ribosomal RNA", at positions 524 to 776 of the family's 1533-position model. The record is from RNAcentral.